This 253-nucleotide ribosomal RNA is filed under the name uncultured bacterium. RNAcentral describes it as "partial 16S ribosomal RNA". It matches the Rfam family "Bacterial small subunit ribosomal RNA", at positions 524 to 776 of the family's 1533-position model. The record is from RNAcentral.
UACAGAGGAUGCAAGCGUUACCCGGAAUGAUUGGGCGUAAAGCGUCUGUAGGUGGCUUUUUAAGUCCGCCGUCAAAUCCCAGGGCUCAACUCUGGACAGGCGGUGGAAACUACCAAGCUGGAGUACGGUAGGGGCAGAGGGAAUUUCCGGUGGAGCGGUGAAAUGCGUAGAGAUCGGAAAGAACACCAACAGCGAAAGCACUCUGCUGGGCCGACACUGACACUGAGACACGAAAGCGUGGGUAGCAAACAGG